This is a long non-coding RNA of Numida meleagris (helmeted guineafowl), 3150 nucleotides long. RefSeq lists it as uncharacterized. The transcript is spliced from 4 exons. The record is from RefSeq and is a predicted model, not a curated record. NCBI's taxonomy places the organism in Eukaryota, Metazoa, Chordata, Aves, Galliformes, Numididae.
GGGCAAUGGCAGAGCCUUGCAGGAUAUCCUAAUGAGCCUAAUUGGUAGUGGGAAUCUGAGUCCCUGGAGAAUAGAGAUAGAAAGAAACCAGCAGACAAAGAGACAGGUAUUUUACUGAAAAGCUGCAAAAAUAGCCUGAGUUCCACAAAGCCGUUUUUAUGCUGAUUUCCUUCUGCUUCUGAUGGACCCUAUUUGCUGUAUAUGCUGCUCCUGUUGCUUCUCUUGCUUUCUUAGCUUCCCAGACAGUCAGUGGCAUUUGUUUCUGAUAGUUUGCAUUAGUGUCAAAGAGUCUGAGACCAGCAGCAGGUAGAUUAGUGAGGCUAUCCUCCUGUGGGCAGAGUUUUGGCACUGCAGCUGACCAAGAUUUUUGCAGAUGUAGAGCCUACCAGAAUGCUUUGAACAGACAUAGCUGUGUCCAUAUCAAAAGAGCACUGAUGGUAGGAUGCUCAAAUAAUUUCCAAACAGAAGAAGAAAACUGGCUUAUUCACUUGUGGAUCCCAUAAUUGAACUGGAAUCGUUGCUGGGAUGGGAUGACCAGAGAGGUCCAGAAGAUAUUUUCAAACCAUUUUCACAAUAGUUGAAAAUGAGUGGUAGAUUUCUAUGCAGGUUUGUGCUGGGCCAUACAGUUUGCAAUAGAUCUGAAAAUGGGGAGUGAAGUGACAAGGUUUGCUGAUAGUGCUAAAUUUAUUCAGAAUAUUAAGAAAUCUGAAUGAGGAACACAAGGUGCAUUUUGUGAAACUGACUGGUGAUGAAAAGACAAGUGAGAUUCACUUUUCACAAAUGCAAAGUAAUGCUGGUUGGAAAAAACAAUCCAUCUCUAUAUAUACAGUGAAGGUCUUUAAAUUAGUUAUUACUAUUCAGAAAGAGAUCUUGGAAUCUUUAUAUGCUUACUGCUUCAAAACAUCAGCACAAUGUUUAGUGGUGGUCAGAAAAGUAAACAGAGUCUUGAGAAUCAGGAAAAGAAUUGAGAGCAAAGCAGGAAAUAUCAUCAUGCCUCUGUAUAAAUCCAUGUUUUCCUCACAUUUUAAAUACCACUUGCAGUUCUGAUUAUAAUAAUAAAGUAUUAGAAAUGGAAAAAGUACAGAAAAGGUCAACAAGUAUGAUAAAUAGCAUGAAAUGGUUUCCACAUAAGAAAAGGUGAAAUAUUUUUAGAUGUUUUGAACUGAAUAAGAAAUAGAUAAUGACUAUCAAGGCAAAGGAGGAAUGGGAGAAUGAUUUUUAAUUAUUUCUUAUGAUACAGAAACAAGGAAGUGCUGAAUGAAAUUUUAAGCAGACAGAAGUCAAAGAAUAAGAAAUAUAUACAUAUUUUUUCCACAUGCGAUGUAAUUAAAUUGUGGAUAAUCUAGAUGAUGAAAGUUUAGAUGAUUUAAAAAAAAUCAAUUACUGUGAUCUAUGUAAGAAAUAUUCAUUAAAUGCUGACAAACACAAAGAUAAAACCUGGAACUCAAAGUCCGUAAGUUUCUCAUUGUUGUUAUCUCAGAGGAAAUGUAAGAGUAAAGUAUCACAGAAUGUCAGCCCCUUUCUUUUUUCUUAUUUUUUUCCCUGAGACGUAUUUUCUCAGAGACAGGAUAUGUCAGUAGGUGGGCUUUUGUCUGACCCAAUAUAGCUUUAUUCAUGUUAAGACUUAAUCACCCAAAUCUGUAUCCCACAACACCAGGUAGUGCAGCUGUUGGUUACACCAGUUUUCAGAGCAGAAUUCAACCUGAAGUAAUCCAGCCUUUUAACAGAAACUAACCACUGAGCUCAAAAAGGAUAAAAUAUUUUUAUGACGUCCUCGGACAACAAUGGACUGUGAAUCUGCUGUAAAAAAUCAUAGCUGUGCUUUUAUGUUUAAAACUUUCCCUGUUAAGCACUACUCUAAUCUGUCUCUCUUUCUCUCAAUUUCCCUGAAAAAAGGAAGUGGCGUGUGAACAAGUAGGAUUACUUGAUAAUAGUUCUGUAAACAUCAAAUGUAAAAAAGAAAUUCCUGGUACAAGGAAAAACCAUAAUGUAUUUUAGUGUAGCACCGAACAUGUAGCAGUGAAUACUGUAUAUAUAGAGUCGUGCUAUGAAAAUUAUAUGCAAGCGGCAAGGGUCUAACCAGAGAUAUUCAGACCUUCCUAGGCUUGUAAACCCAUGGGUAGAGGUGAUUUUUCUGUGCUGCUCUGUUCACUUAUUCUUUGAAGCUGAGACUUUACAUGGGUGUUAUAUCAUGUGCUAGGACUGGGAAGAGCAAUGAAUUUUCAGUUUAGGAGUAGACAACAGUUUCAAAGAACAGAGGAAAUAGGAAGUUCCCACUGUGAGUCCAAAGACAAAGAAACUGGCUUCCUGGAAUAAAGCAAAGAGAGAGGUCAGCUGAGAGAAAUAUGAAGUAUACAGUUUUGGGGGAAAAAAAAAAAAGAGCCACUGAACAUAUGCAGUCUUUUCUGAAAAACACUUACAUCCCAGUAUCAUCUCUGUGUUAAACAAACAAAAAAUAUUUAUAUGUUCUUAAAUAUUGAAGGGUCCUAAAUGUCUUCUACAACAACAGACAUCAUAGAAUCACCUUAGAUGUCAUCUGGGACUCUGGAUGGCCUCCUACUGUCUCUCCUAGGGAAUACAUCCCAUGUUACAUCUGCUGUCACUGGUCCGCAAAGGCUUUAUUAGAUGUACAUGUUUUAGGUACCUGAAUCUCACCCUUCAUGUUAUUUCUACAUGAUGAAAACACUUCUGGGAAUAUGAAAGAGCUCUGUCUAUCUGCUCUUGUCUUGAUCAAGCUGUCAGUAUUCAUAGUCUAAACUUCCACCUGGAAUACUGCUGAGAAAUAUUUGCAAUUCUGUUAAAUAGAAAAAUUUCAAACACAAGAAACUUGGCAGGUGGGGUAUAUCAAUAUCUCUUACAUCGGCUGAGCUUUCCCUCUUCCAGCUCUUAAACAACACUAGCAAAAAUAGUAAUAAUCAAAAAUACAAAUCUAUUGUUGCAACGUAAUCUUUAAAUGCUAUUGCUCAUCUUGGAACCAAAAGUACUUGUUUGUUUGUUUUCCCUUGUUACUUUUCUGUUUCAAUUUAACAGGUGUUUUCAUCUGUAAUGGGUAAGAUGGAAGGAGUUUGAUGAAAGAUUUGUGUGUAUACGUAUAUAUAUCUAAAACAGUAGAAAACAGUAUAUAUUUUCAGUGUGGUUACACUUGGAAAG